Molecule: small nuclear RNA, 106 nt
Organism: Mesocricetus auratus (golden hamster)
Lineage: Eukaryota; Metazoa; Chordata; Mammalia; Rodentia; Cricetidae
Source: Ensembl
GUCCUACUUUGACAGCACAUAUACCAAAAACUGAAUGAUAUAGACAAGAUUAGCAUGGCCCCUGCACAAGAAUGACUUACAGAUUCAUGUAGUGGUCCCUUUUUUG